This 524-nucleotide long non-coding RNA is filed under the name Mus musculus (house mouse). RNAcentral describes it as "SIX homeobox 3, opposite strand 1". Lineage: Eukaryota; Metazoa; Chordata; Mammalia; Rodentia; Muridae. The record is from RNAcentral.
CUCUGAGCGCGACCCUACCCGGCUCGGGCCCGCAGCAACCCCGACUGUCCGAGAGCCUCUCCCCAAGCAAGGCUCUGCGCCGCCCUCUGAGCCCACCUCCUGGCCACAACGCUGCCUGCGCUUCUCCAGCCCAGGCCGGAAGCCCUAUGCUGCCUCCCGAAGCCGGACUUUCUGGAAGCCCAUCUUCGUAUGCUCACCAGCCCACCCUCCUACGCUGGUCAGAGUGAGAUUGCUAACCUCAAGACCCCAUUCAAUGCCAGCUUUCAACUACUGCUGAAGACCAAUGUAGGUCCUGGAAUAGAAGAACUGCAGAGUCUUGGCUUUUGCUUUUGUGUGUCCACCUCGAGCAGAUCCGGAGCUGGCCGACCCCAGACUGAUUCUCAACAGGUGGCUGGAUGCAGACAAAAGCUACCAUGUCCGCUUGGAGUGACGCCCAGACACGCACAGAGAUGUACAGGAAGCCAAGGAGAGUGGGAUCCACCAGAGUACAGUACAAGUACAGAGUACAGUGCAAGAUGCCCAGU